This 628-nucleotide long non-coding RNA is filed under the name Gallus gallus (chicken). The record is from RNAcentral. Lineage: Eukaryota; Metazoa; Chordata; Aves; Galliformes; Phasianidae.
GGGGGAUCUUCACCUCUUCAUACAUUUUGUUGUUUUCUCUCUGAACUGAUUCUGGUAAGAACACCUUGGCACCUCCAAUGAAUGCUGAUGUUUUCAUAGCUUCAGCUCGAGAAUCAUAAACAUGUGGAUAAUGAAUUCUUUCCAAGUCCACCUCUCUCUGUCUACCUAGGAUAGGCACACUUCGAGCAUUCAAAAGUGCUAGUUCCCUUUGCAAUCGCAGCUCUUUGGGAUCAAAGCACAGGAGUCCUUCACCAGAAACUUCUCCAUCUUCCCCAGCUUGUUUUUCUCUCCUGGCAUUUCGUUUUUCUUCACGACGAUACUGUUUCAUUAACAGCUUUUCUUGUUCAGACUGAAUUGUAACUUGACAGCCAUAAUUGGGUUUAGCAUUUUCACCUAUAAACUUCUUGCACUGCUCUUGCAGAGUCUGGAACUUGUUAUCAUUUUGACAAGUCAAAGAUCUUUCCACAAUCACAGAUCUGUUCUGUAGGAGCUUCUCUAUAAGUUCAAAACCCUCAGGGCCUAGCAGUUCAAAUAACUCAUUUUGAAGCUCAUCACCACUCUUGGGAGAAGCAAGCAUCUCAUACAAAGUACAGCAGAGAUCUUCUGUUGUUGGUCCUCCAGGUGUACC